AUACCUUUCUAGGCCUCUUGGCUAAGAUCAAGUGUAGUAUCUGCUUAUAUUAAGUGAAAUUUUCAUGGGGAGAAUUUGUUUAUGUAGCAUGUUACAUGGACGGUUCUCAUGUUUCGGCUAAGCGUUGCACUAUUGCUUGGAAUAGGCGCAUCCCAA
Molecule: non-coding RNA, 156 nt
Organism: Triticum aestivum (bread wheat)
Lineage: Eukaryota; Viridiplantae; Streptophyta; Magnoliopsida; Poales; Poaceae
Source: Rfam